AACCCCGUGGAUAGAUUUGUGAUGAUUGCAACCACGAGAAAAAAUGCUAAACCGUUCGUC
Porphyromonas sp. is the source of this 60-nucleotide regulatory RNA element. The record is from Rfam. Lineage: Bacteria; Pseudomonadati; Bacteroidota; Bacteroidia; Bacteroidales; Porphyromonadaceae.